RNAcentral lists this transfer RNA (71 nucleotides) under bacterium. RNAcentral's name for it is "tRNA-Gln". It matches the Rfam family "tRNA". Rfam says of the family: Transfer RNA (tRNA) molecules are approximately 80 nucleotides in length. Their secondary structure includes four short double-helical elements and three loops (D, anti-codon, and T loops). The record is from RNAcentral.
UGGGGGGUCGUCUAACGGUAGGACAGCGGCCUUUGAAGCCGCGAAUGAAGGUCCGACUCCUUCCCCCCCAG